RNAcentral lists this ribosomal RNA (253 nucleotides) under uncultured bacterium. RNAcentral describes it as "partial 16S ribosomal RNA". It matches the Rfam family "Bacterial small subunit ribosomal RNA", at positions 524 to 776 of the family's 1533-position model. The record is from RNAcentral.
UACGUAGGGGGCUAGCGUUGUCCGGAAUCAUUGGGCGUAAAGCGCGUGUAGGCGGUCCGGUAAGUCCGCUGUGAAAGUCGGGGGCUCAACCCUCGGAUGCCGGUGGAUACUGUCGGGCUUGAGUCCGGAAGAGGAGAGUGGAAUUCCCGGUGUAGCGGUGAAAUGCGCAGAUAUCGGGAAGAACACCCGUGGCGAAGGCGGCUCUCUGGGACGGUACUGACGCUGAGACGCGAAAGCGUGGGGAGCGAACAGG